AUUUAUUUGGCAAAAUGUGUGUGUGUGUGUGUGUGUGUGUGUGUAUAAUGUAUAUCCGUAUAUACAUUUUUAAUACACACACACACACACACACACACACACACACGAUUUCCAUAAAAU
Molecule: non-coding RNA, 120 nt
Organism: Podarcis lilfordi (Lilford's wall lizard)
Lineage: Eukaryota; Metazoa; Chordata; Lepidosauria; Squamata; Lacertidae
Source: the annotation of a GenBank genome assembly